GGGAGGCUAGGGAUGCGGCUGAGAAAGCACAACAGUUGUUGCAGAAUGUCUCAAACAGGAAGAAAAAUAAACAGUUUGAGAAAGGCGGAUUAGUUAUUACCAGGGCAGUGUAUGGAAAUCGUGAAGCAAUCAAAAGAAGUGGUGAACAGACUGAACGAAAUGCUUCAUGAAGGCGUGAAGAAGUCUGGCAUUAUGGGCUUCUGUGAUGUGUGCCCAGGAGAACCCAAGCAAUUGCUUGUGGAAUAUACAUAUGGUGGCCAGAAAUUUGAGGUUCUACUUCUAAUAUUCCUAUGUAUAUGAGUAUAAUCUUAAGGUUAUACACGUUGCUGGUUAUGUGACUUGUGACUUUGUGCAGGUGAUAGUUGAUGACACCCAGGAAUUAUUGAUUCCUCAAGACAGACACAGAAUUUAGUUCAUGUUAAAGAGUGCUAGACGUGAGCAGGCUGCCUCGGACAAUUUUGCAUGUCUCCAUGCCAUUGAGGCUCUGACCUGCGGCAUAAGGAUUCGAAUAUGCUUUACCUAUAAACUUGAUCUCAUUUAAAACUUAUUUGCCAUUCGUAAUUGACAGAAACUGGCAUUAGUGUCACUAUUACAUUUUAGACUAUUACAUUUUGUAUUUGUUUGUUGUAUUAGAUGUUUGAACUAUUAUAUUUUGUAA
Long non-coding RNA from Dioscorea cayenensis subsp. rotundata (Guinea yam), 658 nucleotides. RefSeq lists it as uncharacterized. NCBI's taxonomy places the organism in Eukaryota, Viridiplantae, Streptophyta, Magnoliopsida, Dioscoreales, Dioscoreaceae. The transcript is spliced from 2 exons. The record is from RefSeq and is a predicted model, not a curated record.